Molecule: long non-coding RNA, 738 nt
Organism: Jatropha curcas
Lineage: Eukaryota; Viridiplantae; Streptophyta; Magnoliopsida; Malpighiales; Euphorbiaceae
Source: RefSeq, a predicted model, not a curated record
AUUAUUUCCGUCUAUAAAUAGACACUCGUUUUGCCACUCAUCCCAUUCUAUGCAUGUUGUGAAAUGAAAAAUUGCAGGGUAUUUACGUGCUGCUGGAGGCCUUGCAUGAAGAGGUAGAGAGUGUAAUUCAGCCAAGGAUGACUUGCCGGCCUGGCCUUGCCUGCAGCUAUCUACAACACCCGCCAACGCCGGCAAGUUGUUUCUUUGGCUACAUUGUACUCUUUUCUUCUCAUGUCAGGCCUGCUAUUGCUACCAGCCUACCACAGCAUUACAGACAGCGGAUUAUUUCGAAAGAGAAAAAAAGAAGCCCAGAAUAUAUGGUAACUGAUCGUAUCCUGGAAGGGCCAUGGCGAAGCAUACAUACAACAAAAGCAAAUUACAAAAAAAAGGUAAUCAAGCACGAGUCUGACGUAUUUUCCAAGUGGCUGUCUAGUUUAAACGAUAGAAAUGUAAGAAAAGGAGUAAUCCAACGAGAAGCCGUAUAAAUACGAUGCAUUGCAUGCUAGUGACGGUGACUUGAUGUCGCUUUUGGAGGCAGAGAAACAGAUGGGCCAUGUUUCUGCCCUAACUUGAUUAUUAGUUGAGAUCUUAAAAAUAAUCAAAAGAAUUAUAUCUGUACUGGUUAAUUAUAUUACAAUGCUGCUGUGUUCCAAUUAUCUCCACUCCUCAAGGAAUAUUUUCGGUUUUGUAAUUUGCAAUGUACAGUAUUUUUAAAAAACAUCAUGGGUUGCAGCCACA